This is a non-coding RNA of Lupinus albus (white lupine), 579 nucleotides long. The record is from the annotation of a GenBank genome assembly. Lineage: Eukaryota; Viridiplantae; Streptophyta; Magnoliopsida; Fabales; Fabaceae.
ACAGAAGCACUAGCAACACCAGCAUCAACAUCACCACAACACGCACCAGCAGUAGAGUCCUUUCAAAAAGGGAUCAUAAAUAUUAGCAUAGCAUCAGCGUAGGCAUAGGCUCCGACACCGACAGAGGUAGAGGCAGCAGCACUGGAAGCACCAUUAACAACACCAACACUCAGUACCAACAGCAACAACACCAACACCCGUACCAACAGCAACAACACCACCACUACCACCACCAAUAGCACCUGCACCAACACCAGCACUGGCAUCCGCACCAGCAAUAUGGAUCACAUAUUUUAGGAAAUGUGACUCUCAACUCACUGCUCAAGGCUCAUGGGUGACUAAAACUUUCAGAUAUAAAUGUGAACAUAGAAGACCUAUAUGAACAAUUGUUUUAAGUGUACAUUUUAUAAAUGUAUCUAGAGUUUUAGUAGUUAUUGACUUAACAUUGUUUUUUAUGGAACAUGUUAAUGCUUUUUUUGAACUUCCCUAUCCAUGAAGGCUUUGGCAACAAUGAAAUUUUGGAUGACCCCUUUUGCAAUUAGAGUUGACUAAUGAGAUGAGGACAUACCAUGUCUCUUU